CUUACAUUUGCAUAAGGUUGGCAUAAACAGACUGUAUGACAAUUUUGUCUUGCUGAACAACAUUAAGUUUUCUAAUUAUCAUAAUUCUUUUAAGAUAAAUAGAUACCAGAUAAGAAUUGUAAAUAGUAUAUUUAUAAACAGUAAAUUAUUAAGCUAUAUAUAUAGUACUAUAAACAAUAUUAUUUGUUUACAUGAUAAAGGACUGGGUAUGAGAGAUCUGGGUUAUUUUGUACCUUGUAUUCACUCCUUGAGAAGCUAGAGGCUGAGCGACAAGUGAGUUUGGUCAAUAUGAUUAGAAAAAUUAGGACACACCGCCGACAAGCUAUAACAGGGGUGGAGCAACUGAAGUUCUGUUUCCGGUGUGUAUCUGCCUAUUUAGAGAUAUAUAAUACAUACUCAAACUUCGCUACAUGAUUGUUUCUGGUGAAUAUCUGCCUUUUUAGAGAUAUGUAACAUUUACUGAAAUUUCGCUACAUAAAUGUUUCCGGUGUAUAUCUGCCUAGUUAGAGAUAUAUAUAACAUUUACUCAAACAACGCUACAUAACUGUUUUAGGUAAAUAUGUAUACAGAGAUGUAUUGCCCAUACCAAACUACGCUACAUGACUGUUUUCGGUGUAAAUAUAUAUAUAGAAAUACAAACACACGCCACACGACAGUUCCCAGUGUAUACCAUGUGUUUUUAUAUAGAAAUGUAUGCAAAACCAAUACUUAAAGUACACUACAUGACUGUUUCUUCCGUAUAUUUGCUUAUAAAUAGAGAUGUAUUUCACAAUGUAUGCAACAAACAAAUUCUAAGAACGUGUGUAAUAGACAUAUAAUGCAAGUGAAUUCAUUUUGAAUCGCAAAAAUAAAAAUGACCCAACGGAAUGAAAAUAUAUAAUUGUAAACGGAACUACUUUACUAACAAUACCAUAUUAUAAUAGAAUAUACAGUUAAGUAUUAAAAUUACUAUUCAAAGAGUUAUUGUUAAAAUACAUGGAUCUAAUUUUUGCAUGGCUAUCAUGGAUUUUAUUACAACGGAUAACUUACAAAAUGGAUCACUACUGUAUAUAUUUUAGCUUGUGAUGUCUCAAGUUAAACAUCAUCAAGAUACUUUUAUAAUUAUCUGAUUGUAAUUCAUUUUGAUAUUGUUUAUAUGCUGGUUGCAGUUUAUCAUGAUGUUAUAUUCCUUCUAACACUCGUAUUUUAGUUGUUAUAUUUUUAUUCAAUGUGAUUUGUUCAUAAACAUCAUCACUUUAAUAUAUGUAGUUUCUUUUAUA
Molecule: long non-coding RNA, 1259 nt
Organism: Ruditapes philippinarum (Manila clam)
Lineage: Eukaryota; Metazoa; Mollusca; Bivalvia; Venerida; Veneridae
Exons: 2
Source: RefSeq, a predicted model, not a curated record